AGGAGCUUCACCUUGAUAACAGCUUUACUUCUCUGCAGCCUCAUCGUCAUUGUUCUGGCUGUUAAAAUCAGGAAACUUCAGACAGCUGUGAAUGAAGAACUGCAGCCAGAAAGAAACAAGGAUCUGGGCUCAGAUGAACUGAACUACGCAGCUCUAAAUUUCCAGGCGAAACCCAAAAGAAGCCGCAGGCCUGCAUCAGAGAGAGAGCUGGAGCCACAUGUUGUGUAUGCUGCCACCAGGUA
Molecule: long non-coding RNA, 242 nt
Organism: Sander lucioperca (pikeperch)
Lineage: Eukaryota; Metazoa; Chordata; Actinopteri; Perciformes; Percidae
Exons: 4
Source: RefSeq, a predicted model, not a curated record